UAACGCGUGGGUAACCUGCCUCAUACAGGGGGAUAACAGUUAGAAAUGACUGCUAAUACCGCAUAAGCGCACAGGACCGCAUGGUCCGGUGUGAAAAACUCCGGUGGUAUGAGAUGGACCCGCGUCUGAUUAGUUAGUUGGCGGGGUAGCGGCCCACCAAGACGACGAUCAGUAGCCGACCUGAGAGGGUGACCGGCCACAUUGGGACUGAGACACGGCCCAAACUCCUACGGGAGGCAGCAGUGGGGAAUAUUGCACAAUGGGGGAAACCCUGAUGCAGCGACGCCGCGUGAGUGAAGAAGUAUUUCGGUAUGUAAAGCUCUAUCAGCAGGGAAGAAGUUGACGGUACCUGAGUAAGAAGCCCCGGCUAACUACGUGCCAGCAGCCGCGGUAAUACGUAGGGGGCAAGCGUUAUCCGGAUUUACUGGGUGUAAAGGGAGCGUAGACGGCAGUGCAAGUCUGAAGUGAAAGCCCCGGGCUUAACCCGGGAACUGCUUUGGAAACUGUACGGCUGGAGUGCUGGAGAGGUAAGCGGAAUUCCUAGUGUAGCGGUGAAAUGCGUAGAUAUUAGGAGGAACACCAGUGGCGAAGGCGGCUUACUGGACAGUAACUGACGUUGAGGCUCGAAAGCGUGGGGAGCAAACAGGAUUAGAUACCCUGGUAGU
This 665-nucleotide ribosomal RNA is filed under the name uncultured bacterium. RNAcentral describes it as "bacterial SSU rRNA". It matches the Rfam family "Bacterial small subunit ribosomal RNA", at positions 111 to 794 of the family's 1533-position model. The record is from RNAcentral.